RNAcentral lists this non-coding RNA (106 nucleotides) under Bacillus thermozeamaize. RNAcentral describes it as "c-di-GMP sequence". It matches the Rfam family "c-di-GMP-I riboswitch aptamer". From Rfam's summary of the family: GEMM was predicted in a large-scale screen for bacterial structured RNA regulatory elements. Genes associated with GEMM are involved in a diverse array of functions, including chemotaxis regulation, signal transduction, secretion and chitin. Lineage: Bacteria; Bacillati; Bacillota; Bacilli; Caryophanales; Bacillaceae. The record is from RNAcentral.
CCUUGAAAAUGGCAAACCAAGCGAAAGCUUGGGACGCAAAGCUACGGGUCUAAGGAGGACUUGUGCUCUGAAAAGGCAUGUCCUCGAUGAUCGCCGGGCUGCCAAG